UAACUACGUGCCAGCAGCCGCGGUAAUACGUAGGGUGCAAGCGUUAAUCGGAAUUACUGGGCGUAGAGCGUGCGCAGGCGGUUCGGAAAGAAAGAUGUGAAAUCCCAGAGCUUAACUUUGGAACUGCAUUUUUAACUACCGAGCUAGAGUGUGUCAGAGGGAGGUGGAAUUCCGCGUGUA
RNAcentral lists this ribosomal RNA (180 nucleotides) under uncultured Alcaligenaceae bacterium. RNAcentral's name for it is "partial 16S ribosomal RNA". It matches the Rfam family "Bacterial small subunit ribosomal RNA", at positions 498 to 677 of the family's 1533-position model. The record is from RNAcentral. Lineage: Bacteria; Pseudomonadati; Pseudomonadota; Betaproteobacteria; Burkholderiales; Alcaligenaceae.